GGUCUCACCCUGAAACAGCAGGCUGCUAGAGACACCAGCUCCUAGAAGAGAAAAUCACAGUCUUGGGAACAAUUCCUUCAGCUUCUCUCCUUCCUUCUCACACGCCAAGGAACAAUGAAAGUGACCACCCCCAGCUUCCAAGAUGGAUGAUCAGCCAACCUGCACCUCAUGUGCUGCGCUGUCCACAGCUGCGAUGAGCUAACUCCUUGAGCACAAAGGACCGUCACCUAAUCCAGAACUACUGUGAGGAUCACAGUAAUGGACAGGAGAAGGAAAGGACGACAGAAUCCAUUCCAGAGGAGUAGUCUUCAUGCAGAGUGGCUUUGGACAGCUUUGGAAGAAGGAGAUUGUCUUUUCCAUUGUCCUUGGCAUUUGGCAACAGCUCUUUCAUUUAGUAAAAUAAGCAUGAGGAGAUGGUGGCUGGAAAAUGAAAUCAUCUAAAUUAAGGCUAUAGCUGAUAUGUUGUUUUGCAGAGGGAGAGCAGCCACUCCUGGAGCACCUCACCAGGGCUCCUGGAGCAGCUCUCACCACUGGUGCAGCAGUUUGUCUGGAAGCUGGACUUCAUGGUAAUGGCCUCUGAGCAGGUCUCUCUUCUGCAGGGAGUCAUACAAUAUGAUCUGCCCGUAUCUCCACCGGGUAGUAUUAGUAAAGCCUCCACCAGACAGAUCUUGAUGAUUUCCUUCCAGUUCUGAUUGCUCCAUUUCUGAUUGCGCUCCAUCUGAGGAGACACCUGGAAAAUUAGCUCUACAGUGCAGGUUUUCAAAUCUGCCUCCAUAGAAAUCCUACUAAUUACUAAGAAAAUUGUCUCAAAUCAUAGAAUCAUAGAAUCAUAGAAUGUCUCAGGUUGGAAAAGGCCUUAAAGAUCAUCAAGUCCAACCACAACCUGACCAAAAUACCCAAUAUAGUUCUUUGUCACGUUUGUAUUUCUCAGCAUUUAUGUUUAAUGCUAUCCAGUCUGUAAAGGUCAGAGUUUCACUACUAAGUUCUUCCUCCUCCAGCAUCACUGACUGGUAAAAAAACUGAACUGCUAGAGAAACUUUCAGUUUACCUUUCGACUUACCUUUCCUUCCCUUUAUUUACCACCUAUAAGGAGCUAUUCCAGAAAAUGUGUUACUUAUUACAAUAAAAAAGGAAGCAAGACAUUGCUGCAAUUUAAUGGUGGCCAAUAAGGAAUGGGGCUGUUCUGAUGCAUUCUCAGUACAUUAGUACUCUACUUAACCUUUAGAAAGAGCUAGUUAUUUUCAAUUAUGCAUUGCAAAUAGCAUUAGUCUGCAGGUCUGGACUAAUGAUUUGCCUACCAAGGAUCCACAAAGGGAUCUAUACUCUUGCUCUCAAUCCCGAUGCAGUACAUUAAGCACUGAAUUACUUCCUUACGGUUGUUUGCCCACCAUUAACUUUUCAUUCAUGGUGAUCAUCUCCUUGCAAUAGAAAAUGUGGAGAAAAGAAAACCAGUUUCCUAUCAGCACAGUAGGCAGGCAUGACUUCCAGAGUUUUCAUCAGUGUUUUAUGUCUUGCAAAGCAUAGACACAGCUGCUACAAGCUGGUUUUGUCAGAACAUACUGCACAAAAUUAACAAGAAGAGACUCAAGACUCUGGGUGGAUGCUUUCAGAACUGGGUGGAUGUUUUCAGAACUGAAUUUGAAAGGAAGAUAUCUUAAUAUAUAUGCAUAUGUGGGUAUCUACACGUUCCUGAUUUUCUAAUACAAUCAAUAAAUAUUUCUGCAAGAGAGUCACGACAGACAAGUUUUCUGCAAUAUUUUGCUGACAUAAAUAUCUUGACAAAG
Long non-coding RNA from Gallus gallus (chicken), 1784 nucleotides. RefSeq lists it as uncharacterized. The transcript is spliced from 4 exons. NCBI's taxonomy places the organism in Eukaryota, Metazoa, Chordata, Aves, Galliformes, Phasianidae. The record is from RefSeq and is a predicted model, not a curated record.